Molecule: ribosomal RNA, 164 nt
Filed under: Leptotrombidium deliense
Lineage: Eukaryota; Metazoa; Arthropoda; Arachnida; Trombidiformes; Trombiculidae
Description: eukaryotic large subunit ribosomal RNA
Rfam family: Archaeal large subunit ribosomal RNA
Source: RNAcentral
AACCCCGCCUGUUUACCAAAAACAUCACCUCUAGCAUUAAUAGUAUUAGAGGCACUGCCUGCCCAGUGACAUACGUUUAACGGCCGCGGUAUCCUGACCGUGCAAAGGUAGCAUAAUCACUUGUUCCUUAAUUAGGGACUUGAAUGAACGGCAAGACGAGGGUU